AGUAUAUAAUGUUGUAUAGUGUAUAGUAUAUAAUGUAGUACAGUGUAUAGUGUAGAGUAUAUAAUGUAGUAUAAUGUAUAGUGUAGAGUAUAGGACAGAUUCUGAUUGCACGCGCACUCCCUUUGUCAGAAAAAAGAAAAACCAAAUCAGCGGCUAGCUGUAGUAAAUCCAGACCAACCUGAUCUCUCUCUGCUGUUCUGGACCCGUCCCUAAGCACCUCGUUCUCCUUGCCCGCCGGAUUCAUGUCUCCUUCCUCGUGCUCGCUUCUCCUCCGGUUCCUGCGCGCGCUUUAAUAAAAAGUCGCGGUGCUCUGAGGAGAUGAUCUUCGAGAAGCCAUAGAUAACUUCUCUCUCUCCGUUUCUAAAUCUUUCUCCCUCCACCCUUACGUUAGAAGCUACAUGCACGAGCGCAUAACCCCACCCGCGCCGCUGCCGCUCGCGCGCGCGCUCACUUUUCCAACGCAAUUCCGUCGCAAAAACUUCCGCCAUUUCCCGGCGGGACAGGUGAGCUCGGCCACGCCCACUACAGAAGAGUCUAGCAAACCGUGCAGAAGUUGCUGGAAAUGUGAUGGAAGUUUACCGGAAUUUCUGUUUCAGACCUAAAGGUUUUAUU
Ictalurus punctatus (channel catfish) is the source of this 612-nucleotide long non-coding RNA. Lineage: Eukaryota; Metazoa; Chordata; Actinopteri; Siluriformes; Ictaluridae. The record is from Ensembl.